Molecule: ribosomal RNA, 2891 nt
Filed under: Vibrio parahaemolyticus
Lineage: Bacteria; Pseudomonadati; Pseudomonadota; Gammaproteobacteria; Vibrionales; Vibrionaceae
Also listed under: 1 other name
Description: 23S ribosomal RNA
Rfam family: Bacterial large subunit ribosomal RNA
Source: RNAcentral
GGUUAAGUGACUAAGCGUACACGGUGGAUGCCUUGGCAGUCAGAGGCGAUGAAAGACGUAGUAACUUGCGAUAAGCCCAGAUUAGGUAGUAACAACCAUUUGAGUCUGGGAUUUCUGAAUGGGGAAACCCACGUGCAUAAGCACGUAUCCUUACCUGAAUACAUAGGGUAAGGAGGCGAACCGGGGGAACUGAAACAUCUAAGUACCCCGAGGAAAAGAAAUCAACCGAGAUUCCGAAAGUAGCGGCGAGCGAAAUUGGACUAGCCCUUAAGCUUUACACGCGUUAGACGAACGGUCUGGAAAGUCCGACGAUACAGGGUGAUAGUCCCGUAGUUGACGACGUGUGUUCAGUGAAAUCGAGUAGGGCGGGACACGUGAUAUCCUGUCUGAAUAUGGGGGGACCAUCCUCCAAGGCUAAAUACUACUGACUGACCGAUAGUGAACCAGUACCGUGAGGGAAAGGCGAAAAGAACCCCUGUGAGGGGAGUGAAAUAGAACCUGAAACCGUGUACGUACAAGCAGUAGGAGCAGGCUUUGUCCUGUGACUGCGUACCUUUUGUAUAAUGGGUCAGCGACUUAUAUUCAGUGGCAAGGUUAACCAUCUAGGGGAGCCGUAGGGAAACCGAGUCUUAACUGGGCGUUCAGUCUCUGGAUAUAGACCCGAAACCAGGUGAUCUAGCCAUGGGCAGGUUGAAGGUUGAGUAACAUCAACUGGAGGACCGAACCGACUAAUGUUGAAAAAUUAGCGGAUGACUUGUGGCUAGGGGUGAAAGGCCAAUCAAACCUGGAGAUAGCUGGUUCUCCCCGAAAGCUAUUUAGGUAGCGCCUCGGACGAAUACUACUGGGGGUAGAGCACUGUUAAGGCUAGGGGGUCAUCCCGACUUACCAACCCUUUGCAAACUCCGAAUACCAGUAAGUACUAUCCGGGAGACACACGGCGGGUGCUAACGUCCGUCGUGGAGAGGGAAACAACCCAGACCGCCAGCUAAGGUCCCAAAUUACUACUAAGUGGGAAACGAUGUGGGAAGGCUCAGACAGCCAGGAUGUUGGCUUAGAAGCAGCCAUCAUUUAAAGAAAGCGUAAUAGCUCACUGGUCGAGUCGGCCUGCGCGGAAGAUGUAACGGGGCUAAGUAGUAAACCGAAGCUGCGGCAAUGUGCUUUUGCACAUUGGGUAGGGGAGCGUUCUGUAAGCGGUUGAAGGUGUGUGGUAACGCAUGCUGGACGUAUCAGAAGUGCGAAUGCUGACAUGAGUAACGAUAAAGGGGGUGAAAAACCUCCUCGCCGGAAGACCAAGGGUUCCUGUCCAACGUUAAUCGGGGCAGGGUAAGUCGACCCCUAAGGCGAGGCCGAAAGGCGUAGUCGAUGGGAAACGGGUUAAUAUUCCCGUACUUCUUACAAUUGCGAUGGGGGGACGGAGAAGGCUAGGUGGGCCUGGCGACGGUUGUCCAGGUUCAAGUGCGUAGGCUUAAGAGUUAGGUAAAUCCGGCUCUUUUUAAGGCUGAGACACGACGUCGAGCACCUACGGGUGUGAAGUCAUUGAUGCCAUGCUUCCAGGAAAAGCCUCUAAGCUUCAGAUUGUAAGGAAUCGUACCCCAAACCGACACAGGUGGUCGGGUAGAGAAUACCAAGGCGCUUGAGAGAACUCGGGUGAAGGAACUAGGCAAAAUGGUACCGUAACUUCGGGAGAAGGUACGCUCUCGACGGUGAAGUCCCUUGCGGAUGGAGCUAUUGAGAGUCGCAGAUACCAGGUGGCUGCAACUGUUUAUUAAAAACACAGCACUGUGCAAAAUCGUAAGAUGACGUAUACGGUGUGACGCCUGCCCGGUGCCGGAAGGUUAAUUGAUGGGGUUAGACUUCGGUCGAAGCUCUUGAUCGAAGCCCCGGUAAACGGCGGCCGUAACUAUAACGGUCCUAAGGUAGCGAAAUUCCUUGUCGGGUAAGUUCCGACCUGCACGAAUGGCGUAAUGAUGGCCACGCUGUCUCCACCCGAGACUCAGUGAAAUUGAAAUCGCUGUGAAGAUGCAGUGUACCCGCGGCUAGACGGAAAGACCCCGUGAACCUUUACUACAGCUUGGCACUGAACAUUGACCCUACAUGUGUAGGAUAGGUGGGAGGCUUUGAAGCACGUACGCCAGUAUGUGUGGAGCCGUCCUUGAAAUACCACCCUUGUAGUGUUGAUGUUCUAACGUCGACCCCUUAUCGGGGUUGCGGACAGUGCCUGGUGGGUAGUUUGACUGGGGCGGUCUCCUCCCAAAGAGUAACGGAGGAGCACGAAGGUGGGCUAAUCACGGUUGGACAUCGUGAGGUUAGUGCAAUGGCAUAAGCCCGCUUGACUGCGAGAAUGACAAUUCGAGCAGGUGCGAAAGCAGGUCAUAGUGAUCCGGUGGUUCUGAAUGGAAGGGCCAUCGCUCAACGGAUAAAAGGUACUCCGGGGAUAACAGGCUGAUACCGCCCAAGAGUUCAUAUCGACGGCGGUGUUUGGCACCUCGAUGUCGGCUCAUCACAUCCUGGGGCUGAAGUCGGUCCCAAGGGUAUGGCUGUUCGCCAUUUAAAGUGGUACGCGAGCUGGGUUUAGAACGUCGUGAGACAGUUCGGUCCCUAUCUGCCGUGGGCGUUGGAAGAUUGAAGGGGGCUGCUCCUAGUACGAGAGGACCGGAGUGGACGAACCUCUGGUGUUCGGGUUGUGUCGCCAGACGCAUUGCCCGGUAGCUAAGUUCGGAAUCGAUAACCGCUGAAAGCAUCUAAGCGGGAAGCGAGCCCUGAGAUGAGUCUUCCCUGAUACUUUAAGUAUCCUAAAGGGUUGUCGGAGACUACGACGUUGAUAGGUCAGGUGUGUAAGUGCUGUGAGGCAUUGAGCUAACUGAUACUAAUUGCCCGUGAGGCUUAACCAU